UGGUCCCCGCUGACGAGCGGCGGAUGGGUGAGUAAUGCUUAGGAAACUGCCCAGUAGUGGGGGAUAGCCCGGGGAAACCCGGAUUAAUACCGCGUACGCCCUUCGGGGGAAAGCAGGGGCUCUUCGGACCUUGCGCUAUUGGAUGUGCCUAAAUCGGAUUAACUAGUUGGUGGGGUAAAGGCCUACCAAGGCGACCAUCCCUAACUGGUCUGAAAGGAUGAUCCGCCACAUCCGGACUGAAACACGGCCCGAACUCCUACGGGAGGCAGCAGUGGGGAAUAUUGGACAAUGGGGGCAACCCUGAUCCCCCAUGCCGCGUGUGUGAAGAAGGCUUUCCGGUUGUAAAGCACUUUCCGUGAGGAGGAAGGCUGUAAGGUUAAUACCCUUGCAGAUUGACCUUACUCACAAAAGAA
This 413-nucleotide ribosomal RNA is filed under the name Marinobacter sp. RNAcentral's name for it is "bacterial SSU rRNA". It matches the Rfam family "Bacterial small subunit ribosomal RNA", at positions 79 to 489 of the family's 1533-position model. Lineage: Bacteria; Pseudomonadati; Pseudomonadota; Gammaproteobacteria; Pseudomonadales; Marinobacteraceae. The record is from RNAcentral.